Molecule: long non-coding RNA, 187 nt
Filed under: Sinocyclocheilus grahami
Lineage: Eukaryota; Metazoa; Chordata; Actinopteri; Cypriniformes; Cyprinidae
Description: lncRNA (ENSSGRG00000014558.1)
Source: RNAcentral
CACUGACACGCGCCUAACAUUCUUUCAUUGAUAAUCCGUCGAGCGAGCAGCGCGUCAAUAGCGCACUAAUCAAACGAAAAUGAUGUAAAACGGACGCACACGUACCAGGGAAGCCUUGGAGGGGACAAUACCAGGCUUUCAGGGGGGAACCAAACUGAGUUUGGGAUAUAUUGACUUUGAAUUUUCA